UACAGAGGUGGCAAGCGUUGUUCGGAAUUACUGGGCGUAAAGGGCGCGUAGGCGGCCUUCUAAGUCAGACGUGAAAUCCCCCGGCUUAACCUGGGAACUGCGUCUGAUACUGGGAGGCUUGAGUAUGGGAGAGGGAUGUAGAAUUCCAGGUGUAGCGGUGAAAUGCGUAGAUAUCUGGAGGAAUACCGGUGGCGAAGGCGGCAUCCUGGACCGACACUGACGCUGAGGCGCGAAAGCCAGGGAGCAAACGGG
Molecule: ribosomal RNA, 252 nt
Filed under: uncultured bacterium
Lineage: Bacteria
Description: partial 16S ribosomal RNA
Rfam family: Bacterial small subunit ribosomal RNA
Source: RNAcentral